RNAcentral lists this ribosomal RNA (460 nucleotides) under uncultured bacterium. RNAcentral describes it as "partial 16S ribosomal RNA". It matches the Rfam family "Bacterial small subunit ribosomal RNA", at positions 338 to 795 of the family's 1533-position model. The record is from RNAcentral.
CCUACGGGAGGCUGCAGUGAGGAAUAUUGGUCAAUGGACGAGAGUCUGAACCAGCCAAGUAGCGUGAAGGAUGACUGCCCUAUGGGUCGUAAACUUCUUUUGUCAGGGAAUAAAAUCUUCCACGUGUGGGCUUUUGUAUGUACCCUAUGAAUAAGGAUCGGCUAACUCCGUGCCAGCAGCCGCGGUAAUACGGAGGAUUCGAGCGUUAUCCGGAUUUAUUGGGGUUAAAGGGAGCGUAGGUGGGUUGUUAAGGCAGUUGUGAAAGUUUGGGGCUCAACCGUAGAAUUGCGGUUGAAACUGGCAGUCUUGAGUACGGUAGAGGUGGGCGGAAUGCGUGGUGUAGCGGUGAAAUGCUUAGAUAUCACGCAGAACUCCGAUUGCGAAGGCAGCUCACUGGACUGCAACUGACACUGAGGCACGAAAGUGUGGGUAUCGAACAGGAUUAGAUACCCCAGUAGUC